This is a long non-coding RNA of Taeniopygia guttata (zebra finch), 811 nucleotides long. RefSeq lists it as uncharacterized. The record is from RefSeq and is a predicted model, not a curated record. NCBI's taxonomy places the organism in Eukaryota, Metazoa, Chordata, Aves, Passeriformes, Estrildidae.
GACAGGAGAGGAGAAGAGCCGGGGGAAGCCGGGGCACGGCAGAGAGAGACCGGCAGGAGAGAGAUGUUUGUGUGUGUGUGAGAAUCGCGAGGGGUGCCCCGGACCGCCGGCAGCCGCAGCGCCGCGCUCGGGAUGUGCCCGCGGCCGGAGCCGCGCUUACCUCGCGUCCUGCCGGGGCUGCGGCUCGCAGGGCUCGGGGAGGACGAGGAGGAGGAGGAGAGGUCUGUGCCUGGCUCCGGAGCCAGCGAGGGACGGCCGCGGCUCUGCCGGGCUGAUGGAGCCCCCGGGUGCCGCCGUGUCCCCGCUCGGCCCCGGCUCCUGCCCCGGCAGCGCCGAACUUGCCGUCUUUGUCUGCAGCCAGGCUGUCACCGAGUGCCGCAAGCUGCCAUCCACCGCCGCGGGCCGUGCUGCCCCGAGCCCGGCGGCAGGGUGGGCGGGGAGGAGGCGAUGCUUGCUCUGACCUUCGGCAUGGCUUCGGACCCUUAGAUCAUCCCCCCGCUGUCACACAGAGCCGCUGGCCCCGUCCCCUCGUCUGCCACCCCCUGCUUGGGGCUCCAGCAGGGACAGGUGACCGCAGUCACCUUUGCACCUUAGCACUGCCGAUGGAACGGGCAGAGAUGGCAAAUGCCCCGUUCCCUGCCGAUGGCAAACGCCCCGUUCCCUGGGCUGGAGCGGCUCUGGGAAGGACAGUGCCAGGAACAGGUGCUCCCUGGCUGCAGGACUGCACAAGGAUGCAGGUCUCCAAGCUCAUCCCCAUCCUUUCCUCUCCUCUCCAAGCAGCAAAUAAACCUCUGACCACCCUGGAAGAAAA